Molecule: transfer RNA, 76 nt
Filed under: Candidatus Beckwithbacteria bacterium CG1_02_47_37
Lineage: Bacteria; Candidatus Beckwithiibacteriota
Also listed under: 2 other names
Description: tRNA-Pro
Rfam family: tRNA
About the family: Transfer RNA (tRNA) molecules are approximately 80 nucleotides in length. Their secondary structure includes four short double-helical elements and three loops (D, anti-codon, and T loops).
Source: RNAcentral
CGGAGAGUAGCGCAGUUGGCAGCGCGCACGGUUUGGGACCGUGAGGUCCCGGGUUCGAGACCCGGCUCUCCGACAA